UAACGCGUAGGUAACCUGCCUGGUAGCGGGGGAUAACUAUUGGAAACGAUAGCUAAUACCGCAUAAGAGUAGAUGUUGCAUGACAUUUACUUAAAAGGUGCAAUUGCAUCACUACCAGAUGGACCUGCGUUGUAUUAGCUAGUUGGUGGGGUAACGGCUUACCAAGGCGACGAUACAUAGCCGACCUGAGAGGGUGAUCGGCCACACUGGGACUGAGACACGGCCCAG
This 228-nucleotide ribosomal RNA is filed under the name uncultured bacterium. Its description in RNAcentral is "partial 16S ribosomal RNA". It matches the Rfam family "Bacterial small subunit ribosomal RNA", at positions 111 to 334 of the family's 1533-position model. The record is from RNAcentral.